GAUGAACGCUGGCGGCGUGCCUAAUGCAUGCAAGUCGAGCGAACAGACGAGGAGCUUGCUCCUCUGACGUUAGCGGCGGACGGGUGAGUAACACGUGGAUAACCUACCUAUAAGACUGGGAUAACUUCGGGAAACCGGAGCUAAUACCGGAUAAUAUAUUGAACCGCAUGGUUCAAUAGUGAAAGACGGUUUUGCUGUCACUUAUAGAUGGAUCCGCGCCGCAUUAGCUAGUUGGUAAGGUAACGGCUUACCAAGGCAACGAUGCGUAGCCGACCUGAGAGGGUGAUCGGCCACACUGGAACUGAGACACGGUCCAGACUCCUACGGGAGGCAGCAGUAGGGAAUCUUCCGCAAUGGGCGAAAGCCUGACGGAGCAACGCCGCGUGAGUGAUGAAGGUCUUCGGAUCGUAAAACUCUGUUAUUAGGGAAGAACAAAUGUGUAAGUAACUAUGCACGUCUUGACGGUACCUAAUCAGAAGGCCACGGCUAACUACGUG
Molecule: ribosomal RNA, 497 nt
Filed under: uncultured bacterium
Lineage: Bacteria
Description: partial 16S ribosomal RNA
Rfam family: Bacterial small subunit ribosomal RNA
Source: RNAcentral